Non-coding RNA from Doryrhamphus excisus (bluestripe pipefish), 2009 nucleotides. NCBI's taxonomy places the organism in Eukaryota, Metazoa, Chordata, Actinopteri, Syngnathiformes, Syngnathidae. The record is from RefSeq and is a predicted model, not a curated record.
CAAUAUUUUUGUUUUGUUUUUUUAUUUUUGUAAAUGUAUUUACAUUACUUAUUGCUGUCCUGUCGGUGCCAAAAUGUGUUUUCAUCAUUACUCGACAAAAAUAUUUAUCUAGUACUAUACUGUGAUCUUGGCCACUAGGUGGCAGCAAGCCAAUCAACUGAGUAUACAUGCCUCCUGAAAUGUGAGCAUGGUUUUGACGAUGGAGUGAAGCAGUGAAAGGUGGAGGAAAUGGACAGGUGGAAAGACUACUUCCAUGCAAAAGGAGGCAGGCCAAGUACAUGCGAGCAGUGCUGCGCAGGAGCGGUUGACUGUAUGUUGACGUGGACUUACUGUAGAUUUCCACAGCUGGAAAAGAAGUGAAGGCUCAGGACUGGUGACGCAACAUCCUAACAAUACUGAGAGCAUCAUAGCUGGCAGCUAAGCUUGUAACCCUUGGCUACCAUUACCCCAUCUUCCUCCUCCCUCCCUCCUUCUCCUGCCUCCCAUAUCUUAUUGUUAUGCAACAGGGGUUUACGCCAUGUGCUACUGACUAGUUAAGUAUUUAUCAAGCCUCUUGUAUAAGCGGCGGACAGGAGGCGGCUGUCGGUUGACCCAGCUCCGUCUUUCCUCUGUGCUUGAUCAGUUUUCCUCACAUUCUGAGUGAGCUCAGUGUGUGCUCCCCCAGGAAGCCCUGACUCAUCCCGUCAAUUCAGCACUUGUCGUGUGUUGUGCCCGCGUGAGAGGAGCUCGGUCUCCCAUAUUUCCUGAUAAUGCCCACUUUCCAUGCAGCGUCACAACUCGGGAGCUGUGUGCCACACUCAAAAUCACACGACAAGGCGUUUGGCAGCCUCACCAUAAAACUCCCUGUUUUGUAUGCAAACAUGCGGGGAAGCGAGCAAAAAGGUGAACCUUCUUCAGGUUUUUUUAACAACAUUUCCACCAGAUUUAUAAAAAAGAUUUUUCAUAAAACUGCUUAGUUUUUUGUUAUUAAUUUUCAAUUUGCUGGAGCCUAUCCCAGCUGAUUUUGGGCACACUCUGGACUGGCUAAAGACAAAGAAUGCACAAUUUACAGUCACCAAUGAAACCUAAAAUGCCAAAUUUUUGUACACACAGGGGAGAAAAUGCAAGCUCCACACAGUGAUGCCCAUACAACAUCUUCCUGACUAAGAUGCUAACCACUUGCUAACCACCACAGUACGGCACCCUGAUUAUGCAGUCCUCUUCAAAUUCCAUCUGUCAUGUGGUCAAUACUAUUAUAGCUGAGACAAGACAUCACUCCUUCCUCAUCACCUCCCUGCUGUGUUUGCUCAGCCAGCUGAGGUUUGGCCAUCAUCAGCCCUCUCUUAUAAUCCAUUUUAACUGACAGAAAGAAGUCGGGCGAGAAUAAGAUGACAUCGGUCAUUGUUCAGGCUGAUAUUCCAACAUGAAUAUUUCAAACUGGCACCCUAGCCAGACACCUCUUGACAGCUGCCAAGGAGAUGUUGACGACGAGGGGAUUGUUGUCAGAUGAAAGAUGUGAUCAAAACAACCUGAGGUGGAUUGGUUUGACACAUCUGAAUGUGCCUCAUUAAUGUGUAUGGCCUCCACGUACUUGUAUGCGCUCCCUAAGGUGUGAUACUGAUGAGACCACGGAUGGUUCCAGGGGCAUCCAUCAAACUAUUACCGUAUGACAAAAGAUAUUUUUCAUCGUGCAACAGCACACUCUGACACCAAGUGUUUGUCAUGAAAGUAGAAGAUUGGAAUAUUCACCCUCACACGCCAGUGCUUUUGCCUAGCGCAGGGGUCGGCAACCUUUACUAUGAAAAGAGCCAUUUCACCCACUUGCCCACUAAAGAAAAAUAGCCUGGAGCCGCAAAACGUUGUAUGUUUAAAACAACAUUGGAGGGAAAAAAAAAAGACGAGUUGGAGUACUCUUGCUAGUACUGGAGAUAAACUUUUGUUUUUAAAUGAGCUCUAAUUUAUUUUUUAGAAUCGUCAAAUAACUCAUUAAUAAUAAUUAAUAACUCAAAGUAUUACUCAUUUCCCUUCAU